Long non-coding RNA from Branchiostoma belcheri (Belcher's lancelet), 357 nucleotides. RefSeq lists it as uncharacterized. The record is from RefSeq and is a predicted model, not a curated record. Lineage: Eukaryota; Metazoa; Chordata; Leptocardii; Amphioxiformes; Branchiostomatidae. The transcript has 3 exons.
GUCUGGUCGUCAAGCCAUACGAUGUGAUAUUUGACCCCUUCAUCCAGACCCAGGAGGUUAGGCUGCCAUGUAACUCUACGGGAGAACAGCCGGUCACGUACAGGUGGAGAAAGGAUGGUCGGCUGCUAGAUGUGAAUUCUCGGCAACCGCCAUAUGAAAUGGACGCCGGCGCGUUGAUCAUCAAGAACCCAGAGAAGAGCAAAGAUGAAGGAAGGUACCAAUGUGUGGCAGAGAAUGACUACGGCACGGUUGUCAGCAGACGGGCUGCUCUCACCUUUGCUUAUUCGGACCCGUUUGCCUCGACUCCGCGCCCUCCAGUGUCCGGACGUCAGGGGGAAGGAGCGGCUCUCCGGUGCC